CCCGAUGACGAAGGUGGGCACUCUCCGACUUGAUGAGGAUGUGGGGCGAGGAGCCAGAGG
Pyrococcus abyssi GE5 is the source of this 60-nucleotide non-coding RNA. Lineage: Archaea; Methanobacteriati; Methanobacteriota; Thermococci; Thermococcales; Thermococcaceae. The record is from Rfam.